CGGAGGGGCUAGCGUUGUUCGGAAUUACUGGGGCGUAAAAGCGCACGUAGGCGGACAUUUUAGUCAGGGGUGAAAAUCCCGGGGCUCAACCCCGGAACUGCCCUUGAUACUGGAUGUCUGGAGGUCGAGAGAGGUGAGUGGAAUUCCGAGUGUAGAGGUGAAAAUUCGUAGAUAUUCGGAGGAACACCAGUGGCGAAAGGCGGCUCACUGGCUCGAACCUGACGCUGAGGUGCGAAAGCGUGGGGGAGCAAACAGGAUUU
This 260-nucleotide ribosomal RNA is filed under the name uncultured bacterium. RNAcentral describes it as "partial 16S ribosomal RNA". It matches the Rfam family "Bacterial small subunit ribosomal RNA", at positions 527 to 780 of the family's 1533-position model. The record is from RNAcentral.